GAAGGGAUGGAAAAAAAUCCCUUAUUCUUCCUUUCCCCUUUCCUCUUUCGCGCCAGUCUCUCUCCCUCACCCAAAAAUUUCAGCCUCCACAUUUUUUGUAGAGAGCUCCGGCCACUAGCCCAUCCACCGUCACUCGUCGACGCUACUCCAUCACUGCUCAUCAACCUCUGUCAUGCUAUCGCAGUUCGUCAACCUCUCUCGCCAACACACUGCCAUGUGUGCCACCAAUCUAAGUCACACAAAUCUGCUCUAUCAGCUCCUACAGGUCACACUCGUCGUGCGCCAUCGUUUGUCACCAUCAUCGCUGAUCUUGCCUCCACCCUCCAUCACCGCCUAUUUCAAUUUGGUGUUGGAUUCAAGGUUCGAAGGGAAUUAGAAGUUGGAAAUGAACUGCCCAACAUUAUUAAGGUAUUUAUUGGUGGAUUAAGGUGAGUUUUAUGAGUUUGUGAAGUUAUUAGCUUGGGGUUGAUCACCCAUAAAUUUGUUGGACUAAAAUUUGUUUACUCAUAUUGUUUCGACUCUGGAUCAGAGUUUUGGAGGUUGUCAAAGUUGUUGUCUAGUAGGUGUUGAAGUUGGAUUUUGGUGAAAUUUGGAACAUAUUGGUUUGGAGCAUUUGAGGUGAUUUUUGGACCAACGCACCUUGGGACUUGACUCAAAUCUUAUUGAACAAAUAGGAGAUAAGCUUGCUUGAACAUAUUUGGGCUUAUUAUCAAGGUAAGUGAUUUACUAUUGAUUCACCUUCAAAUCCCAAGUUGAUGUUAAGCUUUGAGUACGCCGAAUGCAUGCAUUUAUUUUGAUGGAAUGAUCUGCUAUGAUUUAAUUGAUGGAUGGAUUGUUGGUGGUGUUCUGGAAACCUUCGACCAUGUUACUAAGGUUAGGAUAUCAUGUUUAUGGAUGGUGCAAAAUAUGAAUGUCGAAUGUUGCAUGAUUAGACUGUUGGUGACUGUUAGUGUUCUUAUUGAGCUGUGUACAUCGCAUAUUUGUGAACCUUCAAGUUCGCAUCUUAUGAUUAUGUUCCAGUGUUCCUAAGGGAUCACCACCUAUGCCUAUGAUUGUGACCCUCUAAGAUCACUACUUAUGAAAGCGUUCCUUCGAGUUCGCCGCUUACGCUUAUGCCUAUGAUACAUGAUGCACACCUGUGACUCGACAGGGAGGCUAAUGGUCACCUAGGUCCAGUAGUGGGUCACUUACUAAGUAUUUUUGUACUCACCCUUUCUUAUGAUAUGUUUUUUAGGUUAGAGCAAGGACUAACCAACGAAUGAUAAGAAGAAUCUGUAACCAUGCCAUUGGGACCAAACAGAAGCUUUCGCACAUGUCUUUCACAUUUCUCAUGCUACAGUCGUUAACAGUCAAAUGUUUGGGGUUUUAAAUUAUGUUUCUUAAUUGAAUUUUACGUUUUAAGGGGACCCCGAUCAAAGAUUUCUAGUUAUUUUAAUUUUUGUAAAAGAAAUUUAUUUUAUGAAAUUCUUUUGGUUUUGGUCAUAAUUUGUAAAGAGUCGUUUGAGAAUAUUCAUGCAUGUAGUAACAGUCCAAUUUCACUCCUA
Molecule: long non-coding RNA, 1544 nt
Organism: Benincasa hispida (wax gourd)
Lineage: Eukaryota; Viridiplantae; Streptophyta; Magnoliopsida; Cucurbitales; Cucurbitaceae
Source: RefSeq, a predicted model, not a curated record